Molecule: ribosomal RNA, 267 nt
Filed under: uncultured marine bacterium pC2-24
Lineage: Bacteria; Pseudomonadati; Pseudomonadota; Gammaproteobacteria
Description: partial 16S ribosomal RNA
Rfam family: Bacterial small subunit ribosomal RNA
Source: RNAcentral
ACGCAGGCGGUCUGUUAAGCUAGAUGUGAAAGCCCCGCGCUCAACGUGGGAGGGUCAUUUAGAACUGGCAGACUAGAGUCUUGGAGAGGGGACUGGAAUUCCAGGUGUAGCGGUGAAAUGCGUAGAGAUCUGGAGGAACAUCAAUGGCGAAGGCAACUCCCUGGCCAAAGACUGACGCUCAUGUGCGAAAGUGUGGGUAGCGAACAGGAUUAGAUACCCUGGUAGUCCACACCGUAAACGCUGUCUACUAGCUGUUUGUGAUUUAAU